This 468-nucleotide ribosomal RNA is filed under the name uncultured bacterium. Its description in RNAcentral is "partial 16S ribosomal RNA". It matches the Rfam family "Bacterial small subunit ribosomal RNA", at positions 28 to 507 of the family's 1533-position model. The record is from RNAcentral.
GACGAACGCUGGCGGCGUGCUUAACACAUGCAAGUCGAACGGAAAGGCCCUGCUUUUGUGGGGUGCUCGAGUGGCGAACGGGUGAGUAACACGUGAGUAACCUGCCCUUGACUUUGGGAUAACUUCAGGAAACUGGGGCUAAUACCGGAUAGGAGCUCCUGCUGCAUGGUGGGGGUUGGAAAGUUUCGGCGGUUGGGGAUGGACUCGCGGCUUAUCAGCUUGUUGGUGGGGUAGUGGCUUACCAAGGCUUUGACGGGUAGCCGGCCUGAGAGGUUGACCGGCCACAUUGGGACUGAGAUACGGCCCAGUCUCCUACGGGAGGCAGCAGUGGGGAAUAUUGCACAAUGGGCGGAAGCCUGAUGCAGCAACGCCGCGUGCGGGAUGACGGCCUUCUGGUUGUAAACCGCUUUCGCCUGUGACGAAGCGUGAGUGACGGUAAUGGGUAAAGAAGCACCGGCUAACUACGUG